RNAcentral lists this ribosomal RNA (442 nucleotides) under uncultured bacterium. Its description in RNAcentral is "partial 16S ribosomal RNA". It matches the Rfam family "Bacterial small subunit ribosomal RNA", at positions 338 to 795 of the family's 1533-position model. The record is from RNAcentral.
CCUACGGGGUGCAGCAGUGGGGAAUAUUGGGCAAUGGGCGCAAGCCUGACCCAGCAAUGCCGCGUGAAGGUCAAUGGCUUUCGGGUUGUAAACUUCUUUUAUAGGGGAAGAGCAGAAGACGGUACCCUGAAAACAAGCCACGGCUAACUACGUGCCAGCAGCCGCGGUAAUACGUAGGUGGCAAGCGUUGUCCGGAUUUACUGGGUGUAAAGGGCGUGUAGCCGGGAAGGCAAGUCAGAUGUGAAAUCUGGAGGCUCAACCUCCAAAGUGCAUUUGAAACUGUGUUUCUUGAGUACUGGAGAGGCAGAAGGAAUGCCUUGUGUAGCGGUGAAAUGCGUAGAUAUAAGGAGGAACACCGGUGGCGAAGGCGGUCUGCGGGACAGCAAUUGACGGUGAGGCGCGAAAGCGUGGGGAGCAAACAGGAUUAGAUACCCGAGUAGUC